CGGGGCCCCGCCCCCGAGUGACCACGCCUCCCCGGUGCCCGUCCCGCCCCCUGCCAGCUCCGCUGGCCAAUCGCCCUGGCUGACCUCGCGGUGACGCGCGGAGGCGCGACCCGGAAGCCACCCAGCGCGCGUCUCCAGGAAGGCCCCACCCUCUCCUCGCGGCCGCCGGCGUCGGAAUCCGUUGGAGCUCUGCGCCUCCGACUGCCGGCGUCCAGGUCUGGUGGGCGGUGGGCUCCCUGCUGCGGGCGCCCGAGCUUCCCCGAGACUCGCAGGCUCAGGCUACAGCUUCUCUCGCGGAGUUUGCAGUUUCGUGCAGAAAACAGCACAUCCAGCUGCUCAGUGACUUUGAGACAAAGAUUGGAGGACUUUCUCCAAUCCAUAUCCAAUCUUCACAUCAACCCCAUGAGGAAACCGAGGCACAGCGAGUAGCAGUGAUGGCGGCAUUACACUGGGAUGCCUGAUUACUGAGACAGUUCUCCUAACUGCUAAGUUUCUGUGAGGGGCCAUGCAGUUCAACAACGGCUUCCCAAGAGAAGUCCUAUCAAGUGCUGGGUGAGGACGAGUAAUGAAUACGCCCAGGCCUACCCUCCAAGUCUAGUGAGGGAGAAACACAGAAAUUCAGUGACAGGUGCUUGAAGGGGUUUGGACCGGGUGGGGCUGGCUGGGGAAGAUCCCGUCCUGGAGAUGGUGUUUAAAGCGGUCCUUGAGGAGGUAAGAUGUCAGCAGCCUGAGAUGGGGUCCGAACGGACCGGUGCCAGCAAAGACUUGGAGGCAGGAAAGCGUUGAAUCCUCACAAGCUUAGGUUCUCAGACUGAAACAGCCCUCAGAGGUCGCCCGGUGCAGCCCCCAUGGCAAGGUGCUCCCUGCUUCCCGAGCAGCUGGAGAGACGUCAUCUGGGAGCCCCUCCCUUGAUGGGCCACAGGUUCCAGAACUGCUCAUAGAUGUUCUGGCAUUCCUCCAACAUGCAGGCCAGUGUCCCCUGGACAAGCCCCUUUGUCCUGUGCUGGCAUUUAGGAGCGCCCAGACGUGCCAUCAGCAAGGCAUGUUGGGACCAAGGUAUGCUUGCCACUCAGGAGAAGGAUCUGGAAGGUGUGUCCUUGUUUGUGACUACAGCACUACCCCGUCCAGGGGUGCUGUACUCUACAAAAUGGUUUUAAUCAAGGUGGUGGCCUUUAAAUUAAUAAAUCAGCAAAAUACAUUAUAUUUAUUCACAUGCUAAA
Neofelis nebulosa (Clouded leopard) is the source of this 1220-nucleotide long non-coding RNA. RefSeq lists it as uncharacterized. The transcript has 2 exons. The record is from RefSeq and is a predicted model, not a curated record. Lineage: Eukaryota; Metazoa; Chordata; Mammalia; Carnivora; Felidae.